GCCAGUAUAGCUCAGCUGGUAGAGCAGCGCACUCGUAACGCGAAGGUCGUAGGUUCAAGUCCUAUUACUGGCACCA
This 76-nucleotide transfer RNA is filed under the name Snodgrassella alvi. RNAcentral's name for it is "tRNA-Thr". It matches the Rfam family "tRNA". Rfam says of the family: Transfer RNA (tRNA) molecules are approximately 80 nucleotides in length. Their secondary structure includes four short double-helical elements and three loops (D, anti-codon, and T loops). Further hydrogen bonds mediate the characteristic L-shaped molecular structure. tRNAs have two regions of fundamental functional importance: the anti-codon, which is responsible for specific mRNA codon recognition, and the 3' end, to which the tRNAs corresponding amino acid is attached (by aminoacyl-tRNA synthetases). tRNAs cope with the degeneracy of the genetic code in two manners: having more than one tRNA (with a specific anti-codon) for a particular amino acid; and 'wobble' base-pairing, i.e. permitting non-standard base-pairing at the 3rd anti-codon position. The record is from RNAcentral. Lineage: Bacteria; Pseudomonadati; Pseudomonadota; Betaproteobacteria; Neisseriales; Neisseriaceae.